CGGGGUGUAGCGCAGCUCGGUAGCGUGCUUGCAUGGGGUGCAAGAGGUCGCAGGUUCAAAUCCUGUCACCCCGACGA
This 77-nucleotide transfer RNA is filed under the name Cyclobacterium amurskyense. RNAcentral's name for it is "tRNA-Pro". It matches the Rfam family "tRNA". Rfam says of the family: Transfer RNA (tRNA) molecules are approximately 80 nucleotides in length. The record is from RNAcentral. Lineage: Bacteria; Pseudomonadati; Bacteroidota; Cytophagia; Cytophagales; Cyclobacteriaceae.